This is a non-coding RNA of Ailuropoda melanoleuca (giant panda), 82 nucleotides long. Lineage: Eukaryota; Metazoa; Chordata; Mammalia; Carnivora; Ursidae. The record is from Rfam.
ACCCAAGGAAAGCUAGGAGGCUGUACAGUUAUCUCCCUUGAUGUAAUUCUAAACUAUACAACCUACUACCUCAACCUGGGAG